GGGAUUGAGUGAUGUAGUGGCCAGGGAUUGGGGAAGCUUGUGACAUCACUAGGAGUGGCUUGUGUUAUCACUAGUCGCCGGGAGGUAGUGAGUAUCAGAUGACUUUCUUGGCAGGAAAAAGAGGCAUGAUGGAAAGAAGAAGGCUGUCCUUCAGUGGGAGAAGCCAUAUUGUUAGGAAGCAUUUCUUCAACUUAUUACA
RNAcentral lists this long non-coding RNA (199 nucleotides) under Fukomys damarensis (Damara mole-rat). RNAcentral describes it as "lncRNA (ENSFDAG00000022282.1)". Lineage: Eukaryota; Metazoa; Chordata; Mammalia; Rodentia; Bathyergidae. The record is from RNAcentral.